This 819-nucleotide ribosomal RNA is filed under the name Triticum aestivum (bread wheat). Its description in RNAcentral is "partial small subunit ribosomal RNA". Lineage: Eukaryota; Viridiplantae; Streptophyta; Magnoliopsida; Poales; Poaceae. The record is from RNAcentral.
AUGGCGGGGCGCGGGCAGGGGCUGGAGCAAGAUUUCGAUUUCUUCGUGGUGGUCGACUUCGAGGCGACGUGCGUCCAAGACGCGCGGAUCUUCCCCCAGGAAAUCAUUGAGUUCCCUGCCGUGCUCGUCGACGGCGCCACCGGCCGCAUCGAGUCCGUCUUUCGCAGGUACGUUCGUCCAAAACAUCACCCUGUGCUGACCCAGUUUUGCAGGGAACUCACCGGCAUCCGGCAGGAGGACGUCGACGGCGGCGUGGAUCUCGGCGAGGCGCUCUGGCUGCACGACGCUUGGUUGAAGGCGGCGACGGCGGGGGCAGGGAACAAGAGACGCGUCCGCUUGGCCGUCGUGACAUGGGGGGACUGGGAUUGCCGGACCAUGCUCGAGUUCGAGUGCCGCUUCAAGGGCAUCGAGAAGCCCUCGUACUUCGGUCAGUGGAUCAAUCUGAGAGUCCCCUUCCAGGCGGCGCUCGGUGGCGGAGGGCGGGUCAACCUGCAGGAAGCGGUCCGGGCGGCGGGGCUGGACUGGGAGGGCCGCCUGCACUGCGGGCUGGACGACGCGCGCAACACCGCGCGGCUGCUUGCUGAUCUCAUGCGGCGCGGGGUCAAGAUCAACAUCACCGGCUCGCUGGCGCCGCCGCCGCCGAUGCAGAAGCAGCAGCCGCCGCAGCCACACAUAAUCAACCCCUGCGGUGGCUCCUCUGCGCCGUGCUUCUGGUACUGCGGCGUGGCGAGCAGAGGAGGCAUGGAGCCAGGGCCGACGCAGUCUGGAUGCGGCAACUGGACGCCGGCCAUGGGACCCUACUUCCUGUGGAGCAACUGA